Molecule: ribosomal RNA, 253 nt
Filed under: uncultured bacterium
Lineage: Bacteria
Description: partial 16S ribosomal RNA
Rfam family: Bacterial small subunit ribosomal RNA
Source: RNAcentral
UACGUAGGGACCGAGCGUUGUCCGGAAUUAUUGGGCGUAAAGCGCGUGUAGGCGGCUUUGCAAGUCGGGUGUGAAAGCCCUCAGCUCAACUGAGGAAGUGCGCCCGAAACUGCAGAGCUUGAGUGCCGGAGAGGGUGGCGGAAUUCCCCAAGUAGAGGUGAAAUUCGUAGAUAUGGGGAGGAACACCGGUGGCGAAGGCGGCCACCUGGACGGUAACUGACGCUGAGACGCGAAAGCGUGGGGAGCAAACAGG